This 318-nucleotide ribosomal RNA is filed under the name Shigella sp. FC1967. RNAcentral describes it as "bacterial LSU rRNA". It matches the Rfam family "Bacterial large subunit ribosomal RNA", at positions 2403 to 2720 of the family's 2925-position model. Lineage: Bacteria; Pseudomonadati; Pseudomonadota; Gammaproteobacteria; Enterobacterales; Enterobacteriaceae. The record is from RNAcentral.
AAGUAGGUCUUAGUGAUCCGGUGGUUCUGAAUGGAAGGGCCAUCGCUCAACGGAUAAAAGGUACUCCGGGGAUAACAGGCUGAUACCGCCCAAGAGUUCAUAUCGACGGCGGUGUUUGGCACCUCGAUGUCGGCUCAUCACAUCCUGGGGGCUGAAGUAGGUCCCAAGGGUAUGGCUGUUCGCCUUUAAAGUGGUACGCGAGCUGGGUUUAGAACGUCGUGAGACAGUUCGGUCCCUAUCUGCCGUGGGCGUUGGAAGAUUGAGAGGGGUUGCUCCUAGUACGAGAGGACCGGAGUGAACGCACCACUGGUGUUCGGG